RNAcentral lists this ribosomal RNA (206 nucleotides) under thermophilic bacterium TP-3. RNAcentral's name for it is "partial 16S ribosomal RNA". It matches the Rfam family "Bacterial small subunit ribosomal RNA", at positions 51 to 243 of the family's 1533-position model. The record is from RNAcentral.
AUACAUGCAGUCGAGCGGACAUGGAUUGGAGCUUGCUCUGAUUCGGUCAGCGGCGGACGGGUGAGAAACACGUGGGCAACCUGCCCGCAAGACCGGGAUAACUCCGGGAAACCGGAGCUAAUACCGGAUAACACCGAAGACCGCAUGGUCUUUGGUUGAAAGGCGGCCUUUGGUGGUCACUGGCGGAAGGGGCCCGCGGCGCAUUA